Molecule: ribosomal RNA, 354 nt
Filed under: Triticum aestivum (bread wheat)
Lineage: Eukaryota; Viridiplantae; Streptophyta; Magnoliopsida; Poales; Poaceae
Description: partial small subunit ribosomal RNA
Source: RNAcentral
AUGCAAAGGCAUUUCAGAAUGGAGGCUUACAUCUUUCAUGCUCUGGUUGAGAAGUUGCGUGAGAAUGAAAUACUUGAAGAUUCAACAAUAGUCUCCUUGGAAGAAAAGGUUGGGAUAUUUUUAUAUGCAGUUGCAAAAAAUGCCAGUAAUGAAACCUUGCAGGAUAGGUUCCAGCACAGUGGGCAAACCAUCAGUCGACACUUUGGAGAUGUACUAGAGGCAAUUACAAAGCUUGCAAGCAUCUAUAUACGCCCACCUUCUCUUCGACCACAUCCAAUCUUGAGGAGAUCACAUUUCCAUCCCUACUUCAAUGUAAGCAUACAUUUUCAUAUAUUUCUGACUUUGUAUUGGUAA